CAACUUAAGUACUUUUAUUUUUCAGUUAAAUUGGCAGAAAACAUGAAGGCAUCUUCCUAAAAAAUAAAAGCUCUGUAAUGCGCUGCCUGAUACUUAACUACUUGAGCCAGUUGGGAAAAGACUCUACAACUUGAUUUGAGGUGGGUCAAAAGGAAGAAGUGAACACAAAUCUUGUG
Molecule: long non-coding RNA, 176 nt
Organism: Talpa occidentalis (Iberian mole)
Lineage: Eukaryota; Metazoa; Chordata; Mammalia; Eulipotyphla; Talpidae
Exons: 3
Source: RefSeq, a predicted model, not a curated record